This 407-nucleotide ribosomal RNA is filed under the name uncultured bacterium. RNAcentral describes it as "bacterial SSU rRNA". It matches the Rfam family "Bacterial small subunit ribosomal RNA", at positions 917 to 1322 of the family's 1533-position model. The record is from RNAcentral.
GGACCCGCACAAGCGGUGGAGCAUGUGGUUUAAUUCGAUGCAACGCGAAGAACCUUACCUGGUCUUGACAUCCUGCGAACUUUCUAGAAAUAGAUUGGUGCCUUCGGGAACGCAGUGACAGGUGCUGCAUGGCUGUCGUCAGCUCGUGUCGUGAGAUGUUGGGUUAAGUCCCGUAACGAGCGCAACCCCUAUCCUUAUUUGCCAGCACAUCAUGGUGGGAACUCAUGGGAUACUGCCGGGGUCAACUCGGAGGAAGGUGGGGAUGACGUCAAAUCAUCAUGCCCCUUAUGUCUUGGGCUUCACGCAUGCUACAAUGGCCGGUACAGAGGGCUGCAAUACCGCAAAGGUGGAGCGAAUCCCAAAAAGCCGGUCUCAGUUCGGAUUGAGGUCUGCAACUCGACCUCAUG